UUUCUGAAAUUUCGCCUUCAGGAAGUCAUCACAACAUGGCUCCUCUAUUGACCCUUUAAAAACGUUUUUCCCGCCCUUUCACAGAGAAGUAGCUCCUAUAAUGAGCUCAACAGAUGCGCAGCUCCACCAGGUAUUUGCUAUUUGGUUCUGGCUACUUUGGAGGAGUUU
Xiphophorus hellerii (green swordtail) is the source of this 168-nucleotide long non-coding RNA. RefSeq lists it as uncharacterized. NCBI's taxonomy places the organism in Eukaryota, Metazoa, Chordata, Actinopteri, Cyprinodontiformes, Poeciliidae. The transcript is spliced from 4 exons. The record is from RefSeq and is a predicted model, not a curated record.